RNAcentral lists this ribosomal RNA (253 nucleotides) under uncultured bacterium. RNAcentral describes it as "partial 16S ribosomal RNA". It matches the Rfam family "Bacterial small subunit ribosomal RNA", at positions 524 to 776 of the family's 1533-position model. The record is from RNAcentral.
GACGGAGGAUGCAAGUGUUAUCCGGAAUCACUGGGCGUAAAGCGUCUGUAGGUGGUUUAAAAAGUCCACUGUUAAAAAUUGAAGCUUAACUUCAAAGAUGCCGUGGAAACUUUUAAACUUGAGGAUGAUAGGGGUAGAGGGAAUUUCCAGUGGAGCGGUGAAAUGCGUAGAUAUUGGAAAGACCACCAAUGGCGAAGGCACUCUACUGGGCCAUUACUGACACUGAGAGACGAAAGCUAGGGGAGCGAAUGGG